Molecule: long non-coding RNA, 1922 nt
Filed under: Salmo salar (Atlantic salmon)
Lineage: Eukaryota; Metazoa; Chordata; Actinopteri; Salmoniformes; Salmonidae
Description: lncRNA (ENSSSAG00000092512.1)
Source: RNAcentral
AGAGAGUAGAACAGGAUGAGACAGGGAGGAACAGAGAGAGAGAGUAGAACAGGAUGAGACAGUGAGGAACAGAGAGAGUAGAACAGGAUGAGACAGGGAGGAACAGAGAGAGAGUAGACCAGGAUGAGAAAGGGAGGAACAGAGAGAGUAGAACAGGAUGAGACAGGGAGGAACAGAGAGAGUAGAACAGGAUGAGACAGGGAGGAACAGAGAGAGAGUAGAACAGGAUGAGACAGGGAGGAACAGAGAGAGUAGGACAGGAUGAGACAGGGAGGAACAGAGAGAGAGUAGAACAGGAUGAGACAGGGAGAAACAGAGAGAGAGUAGAACAGGACGAGACAGGGAGGAACAGAGAGAGAGUAGACCAGGAUGAGACAGGGAGGAACAGAGAGAGAGUAGACCAGGAUGAGAAAGGGAGGAACAGAGAGAGUAGAACAGGAUGAGACAGGGAGGAACAGAGAGAGAGUAGACCAGGAUGAGACAGGGAGGAACAGAGAGAGAGUAGACCAGGAUGAGAAAGGGAGGAACAGAGAGAGUAGAACAGGAUGAGACAGGGAGGAACAGAGAGAGAGUAGAACAGGAUGAGACAGGGAGGAACAGAGAGAGUAGGACAGGAUGAGACAGGGAGGAACAGAGAGAGUAGAACAGGAUGAGACAGGGAGGAACAGAGAGAGUAGGACAGGAUGAGACAGGGAGGAACAGAGAGAGUAGAACAGGAUGAGACAGGGAGGAACAGAGAGAGUAGAAUAGGAUGAGACAGGGAGGAACAUAGAGAGAGUAGAACAGGAUGAGAUAGGGAGGAACAGAGAGAGAGAGAGAGAGUAGAACAGGAUGAGACAGGGAGGAACAGAGAGAGUAGAACAGGAUGAGACAGGGAGGAACAGAGAGAGUAGAACAGGAUGAGACAGGGAGGAACUGAGAGAGAGAGUAGAACAGGAUGAGACAGGGAGGAACAGAGAGAGUAGAACAGGAUGAGACAGGGAGGAACGGAGAGAGUAGAACAGGAUGCGACAGGGAGGAACAGAGAGAGAGUAGAACAGGAUGAGACAGGGAGGAACAGAGAGAGUAGAACAGGAUGAGACAGGGAGGAACAGAGAGAGAGAGUAGAACAGGAUGAGACAGGGAGGAACAGAGAGAGUAGAACAGGAUGAGACAGGGAGGAACAGAGAGAGUAGAACAGGAUGAGACAGGGAGGAACAGAGAGAGUAGAACAGGAUGAGACAGGGAGGAACAGAGAGAGAGUAGAACAGGAUGAGACAGGGAGGAACAGAGAGAGUAGAACAGGAUGAGACAGGGAGGAACGGAGAGAGUAGAACAGGAUGAGACAGGGAGGAACAGAGAGAGUAGAACAGGAUGAGACAGGGAGGAACAGAGAGAGAGAGUAGAACAGGAUUAGACAGGGAGGAACAGAGAGAGUAGAACAGGAUGAGACAGGGAGGAACAGAGAGAGAGAGUAGAACAGGAUGAGACAGGGAGGAACAGAGAGAGUAGAACAGGAUGAGACAGGGAGGAACAGAGAGAGAGUAGAACAGGAUGAGACAGGAAGGAACAGAGAGAGAGUAGAACAGGAUGAGACAGGAAGGAACAGAGAGAGAGUAGAACUGGAUGAGACAGGAAGGAACAGAGAGAGAGUAGAACAGGAUGAGACAGGGAGGAACAGAGAGAGUAGAACAGGAUGAGACAGGGAGGAACAGAGAGAGAGUAGAACAGGAUGAGACAGGGAGGAACAGAGAGAGUAGAACAGGAUUAGACAGGGAGGAACAGAGAGAGUAGAACAGGAUGGACAGGGAGGAACAGAGAGAGUAGAACAGGAUGAGACAGGGAGGAACAGAGAGAGUAGAACAGGAUGAGACAGGGAGGAACAGAGAGAGUAGAACAGGAUUAGACAGGGAGGAACAGAGAGAGAGUAGAACAGGAUGAGA